Molecule: long non-coding RNA, 761 nt
Filed under: Mytilus galloprovincialis (Mediterranean mussel)
Lineage: Eukaryota; Metazoa; Mollusca; Bivalvia; Mytilida; Mytilidae
Source: RNAcentral
UAUACAUGCUUAUCAAAAAAUGCAGACGUUUAUACAAAUUUUAGUUGCAUCUGGAUGUGAAAUUUACAAAUGGCAUGAAAUAUUAAAGUAUGACCUUCCAGGGACUGACAAAGAUUUGAAUUGUACGAGAAAAUAUCAUAAACCGCGCAAGUUGAAAGAAUUAUGCCGUAUUAGUAUACGCAAAAAACUUGGGUAUUAUCCACAUACUAUCAUAGAUCAAAUCGGUUUACCAAAGGUACUAUGUGAUUAUAUUUUAUUGAAGGACGUCUUUAAUGUUGAACUAUCCUGACAGUUAAGUCCAAGAAUUCACAAGAAUAUACCAGUUUUAUUGUACUGAAUACGAUUUACUAGUACUAUUGGUCAAAAUCAAAAUUAGUAUGUAUCAUUCUGAUAAAGGGUUUACAUUCCUCAUUAAGUUUUGACACAAUUUUAGUUAUUAAAAGAAAGAAAACAAUGUCAGUGUUUUAUUUUGCAGAAGGAAACUAUUUUGUGAUCAUUCACAUACAGAUUGUGUGUACAAUAUUGUCAAUUUUAGUAUUUUUAACUGUCUUGUGUUCUGAUUAAUAUAAGGACAUAUUGGAUAAACGUCAUCGAGAGAGCAACCGAACAGCACUUUACUAUAGCGUCCUACCUCUUUGGAAAAUAUCUGUAUCAAGUCAGGAAUAUGUCAGUUCUAUAUCAUUCGUUCCGUUGAUUGCAAUUGAUGAGGUCUAGUGUUAGAUUUAGUCAUUUUAUAUGGACUUCAGCCUAUUAAAUUAACC